This 635-nucleotide ribosomal RNA is filed under the name uncultured bacterium. RNAcentral describes it as "bacterial SSU rRNA". It matches the Rfam family "Bacterial small subunit ribosomal RNA", at positions 216 to 851 of the family's 1533-position model. The record is from RNAcentral.
CGCUGAUAGAUAGGCAUGCGUUCCAUUAGGCAGUUGGCGGGGUAACGGCCCACCAAACCGACGAUGGAUAGGGGUUCUGAGAGGAAGGUCCCCCACAUUGGUACUGAGACACGGACCAAACUCCUACGGGAGGCAGCAGUGAGGAAUAUUGGUCAAUGGGCGUAAGCCUGAACCAGCCAAGUCGCGUGAGGGAUGAAGGUUCUAUGGAUCGUAAACCUCUUUUAUAAGGGAAUAAAGUGCGGGACGUGUCCCGUUUUGUAUGUACCUUAUGAAUAAGGAUCGGCUAACUCCGUGCCAGCAGCCGCGGUAAUACGGAGGAUCCGAGCGUUAUCCGGAUUUAUUGGGUUUAAAGGGUGCGUAGGCGGCCUUUUAAGUCAGCGGUGAAAGUCUGUGGCUCAACCAUAGAAUUGCCGUUGAAACUGGGAGGCUUGAGUAUGUUUGAGGCAGGCGGAAUGCGUGGUGUAGCGGUGAAAUGCUUAGAUAUCACGCAGAACCCCGAUUGCGAAGGCAGCCUGCCAAGCCAUGACUGACGCUGAUGCACGAAAGCGUGGGGAUCAAACAGGAUUAGAUACCCUGGUAGUCCACGCAGUAAACGAUGAUCACUAGCUGUUUGCGAUACAGUGUAAGCGGCACAG